RNAcentral lists this ribosomal RNA (454 nucleotides) under uncultured bacterium. Its description in RNAcentral is "bacterial SSU rRNA". It matches the Rfam family "Bacterial small subunit ribosomal RNA", at positions 340 to 786 of the family's 1533-position model. The record is from RNAcentral.
UACGGGAGGCAGCAGUGGGGAAUAUUGCACAAUGGGCGCAAGCCUGAUGCAGCCAUGCCGCGUGUAUGAAGAAGGCCUUCGGGUUGUAAAGUACUUUCAGUCGUGAGGAAGGUGUUAAGGUUAAUAACCUUAGCAAUUGACGUUAGCGACAGAAGAAGCACCGGCUAACUCCGUGCCAGCAGCCGCGGUAAUACGGAGGGUGCGAGCGUUAAUCGGAAUUACUGGGCGUAAAGGGCACGCAGGCGGUUAAUUAAGUUGGAUGUGAAAUCCCCGGGCUUAACCUGGGAAUGGCAUUCAAGACUGGUUAGCUAGAGUCUUGUAGAGGGGGUAGAAUUCCGAUGUGUAGCGGUGAAAUGCGUAGAGAUGUGGAGGAAUACCGGUGGCGAAGGCGGCCCCUGGGACAAAGACUGACGCUCAUGUGCGAAAGCGUGGGGAGCAAACAGGAUUAGAUACC